AACGAACGCUGGCGGCAUGCCUAACACAUGCAAGUCGAACGAGACCUUCGGGUCUAGUGGCGCACGGGUGCGUAACGCGUGGGAACCUGCCCUUAGGUUCGGAAUAACUCCCCGAAAGGGGUGCUAAUACCGGAUAAUGUCUUCGGACCAAAGAUUUAUCGCCUUUGGAUGGGCCCGCGUUGGAUUAGCUAGUUGGUAGGGUAAAAGCCUACCAAGGCGACGAUCCAUAGCUGGUCUGAAAGGAUGAUCAGCCACACUGGGACUGAGACACGGCCCAGACUCCUACGGGAGGCAGCAGUGGGGAAUAUUGGACAAUGGGCGAAAGCCUGAUCCAGCAAUGCCGCGUGAGUGAUGAAGGCCUUAGGGUUGUAAAGCUCUUUUACCCGGGAUGAUAAUGACAGUACCGGGAGAAUAAGCUCCGGCUAACUCCGUG
Molecule: ribosomal RNA, 433 nt
Filed under: uncultured bacterium
Lineage: Bacteria
Description: partial 16S ribosomal RNA
Rfam family: Bacterial small subunit ribosomal RNA
Source: RNAcentral